GCCUUGUCUGGGUGGCAGCCGCCCGCGGCAGCGACGCCGCCUGCGGGGCGCCGCGGCCGGCUCUGGCGGCGCCACUCGGCCGACCGCGUGCAGCGCGUCCGCCACCGUCACCUCGCGGUCCACGGUCGCGGCUCAGUCAGCAGGACUGACGCUUUCUUGAGCAUUCCACAUGAAACAACUCCAGCUUAGAUGAGUAGAGUGCCACAAACCUUGAAAAUGGACUACUCGGCCGAUUUCAAUCACUCCAAUUUACUGUUUCGUCUCACCCCAAACUAUAGAACUGAUUGAAGCAUAACUCUUACCAACUAAACUACGGCCAAGAAAUCGGCUGUAGAGAAAACUACAUUUGCAUUUAUUACCAAACAAACAAAAGGGAGAAAAAGGUAAGUGUGAUGAUACCGCUACCACUGGAGUGCGACUGUAACGGCUUCAUAGUAAUUUACGUGCACAGGACCUUGCCGUGUAUCAUCAUUAUUAUGUGAUGGGAGAAAGCGUUGAAUUCAACUACUCAAUAAAAUCUCGAUGUCUAUAUUGUUGUAGUGCCUGUAUCUUUUACCGAUGAAAUCGUCCAUUUUGCCACGCGCAAUGCCUGCCGUGGUAUGCUGCUCGUUUGCUCGCUUCCGUAAAAGCUGUGCAACGUUGGGAGUGCACAUAAAUUUCUUACAUAUAUUUUUGCUGAGAAAC
Pollicipes pollicipes is the source of this 684-nucleotide long non-coding RNA. RefSeq lists it as uncharacterized. Lineage: Eukaryota; Metazoa; Arthropoda; Thecostraca; Pollicipedomorpha; Pollicipedidae. The record is from RefSeq and is a predicted model, not a curated record. The transcript has 3 exons.